UACAGAGGUCCCGAGCGUUGUUCGGAUUCAUUGGGCGUAAAGAGCGUGUAGGCGGCCCGGUAAGUCCGCUGUGAAAGUCCAGGGCUCAACCCUGGGAUGCCGGUGGAUACUGUCGGGCUCGAGUCCGGAAGAGGAGUGUGGAAUUCCUGGUGUAGCGGUGAAAUGCGCAGAUAUCAGGAAGAACACCAAUGGCGAAGGCAGCUCUCUGGGACGGUACUGACGCUGAGACGCGAAAGCGUGGGGAGCGAACAGG
Molecule: ribosomal RNA, 253 nt
Filed under: uncultured bacterium
Lineage: Bacteria
Description: partial 16S ribosomal RNA
Rfam family: Bacterial small subunit ribosomal RNA
Source: RNAcentral